GGAAGAAAAUAUAAGGCACACUUCCGCUUCCGGUCCGUGCCCUUGUGGCUCCGUGUCCUGUAGGUCUUGCCUUUGCUGCUUGGUCUGCAUCUGGGGAUUAUGGCGGCCGCCGCUAGGGCCUGGUGUCGGGGGCUCGUGGGGGCCGUGGCGCUGCCCAGGGGGGUUGGACGACCCUCGGCGCUGUUGCUGCCGGUGAGGAGGGAAAGCGCUGCGGCCGACAAGCGCCCCACUGUCAGACCACGGAAUGAUGUGGCCCACAAACAGCUCUCAGCUUUUGGAGAGUAUGUGGCUGAAAUCCUGCCCAAGUAUAUCCAACAAGUUCAGGUGUCCUGCUUCAAUGAGUUAGAGAUCUGUAUCCAUCCUGAUGGAGUCGUUCCAGUGCUGACCUUCCUCAGGGAUCACACCAAUGCACAAUUCAAAUCCUUGGCUGACUUGACAGCCGUGGACAUCCCAACCCGGCAGAACCGUUUUGAGAUUGUUUACAACCUGCUGUCUCUGCGCUUCAACUCCCGCAUCCGUGUGAAGACCUAUACAGAUGAGCUGACACCCAUUGAGUCCUCCGUCUCUGUGCAUAAGGCAGCAAACUGGUAUGAGAGGGAGAUCUGGGACAUGUUUGGAGUCUUCUUUGCUAACCACCCUGACCUAAGAAGGAUCCUGACAGACUAUGGCUUUGAGGGACAUCCUUUCCGGAAAGACUUCCCCCUGUCUGGCUACGUUGAGCUGAUCCUCCAAUAACAAGAAAAGCCAUGUCAAAUUGAUUGCCUCACAUCUUUUAUUUUUUUGAUUGCCUCACAUCUUGACACCGAUAAUGCCAAGGCCCCAAGGCCUGAACUUGAGUGCCUGCCAGUUAGGUGUACUCUUUUCAGCCACUGACUUGCUCUCUGAUCCUGGGCAAAUUCUUAUAAAGUGUGUGGAUGGUUACGCUAUGAUGAUGAAGUGAAGCGUGUGGUGGCUGAGCCGGUGGAAUUGGCCCAAGAGUUCCGCAAGUUUGACCUGAAUAGCCCAUGGGAGGCUUUCCCUGCCUAUCGCCAGCCCCCUGAGAGUCUCAAGCUUGAAGCCGG
Myotis myotis is the source of this 1061-nucleotide RNA transcript. It is a transcript of the gene named NADH:ubiquinone oxidoreductase core subunit S3, with no coding region annotated. The record is from RefSeq and is a predicted model, not a curated record. The transcript is spliced from 8 exons. Lineage: Eukaryota; Metazoa; Chordata; Mammalia; Chiroptera; Vespertilionidae.